CUCUUAUUUAGUAUACUCGAUUUAAUAUAAGAGGCUGUGAGGUGUCAGCGCAUGGUUGGAUGAAGAGUUUUAUUGAGAACCAUUUUUUUUUCCCGAUUGUGUUCUUCCCUUCCUCUCUCUUUCUCUCGCUCUCUGUCGCGAAUCUCUUAAUCGGAGGAGAUUGAUGAUAGACUCUGGUCUCAUCAAUUGAAUUGGUUGGAAUCGUUGGAGAUUGGAAUUGAAAGUUACGAGAAGAGCAGAGAGGCCAACACUAUAAAAAGCAGGCUUUGAUCUCACUACCUCCACCGUGAUCCCUCCACUGCUGCUCUUGCUCAAGCUUACGCUCCCGGUCAGGAUUAAAGGCACAACUGGAGUUGAGAUUGCUUCUGGCCUCAAUUGGUAUUUAAAGUAUAAAUGUAAUGCUCAUGUUUCUUGGGACAAGACUGGUGGCAUUCAGAUUGCCUCUGUUCCACAGCCUGGAUACUAUUACCAACAUGUUGUUACAUCUAGCUAUUCAUAUGUUUGGUGGGGAUGGGAUGGGAGAGAGAGAUUAUCUUUGUUUAGAGCCUCUUGCUCGUUGUUGACUGCUUCUAUUUUAUGAAAAUGGUUACAAGGAUCAAGGAUAUGGAAAUCUCCAAACACCAGAACAUGUCUAGUAUGGGUAACUCCGGGUUGAUGCAGCAUGAAGUUUAUGGUUAUGAUCAGAACUUGUGUACGAGUGAUAUUACCGACAGAAACGUUCCAGAUCCUAGUCUCUCAAACACAGUCUGAGAUUUCUCUGAAAUCAAUCAAACUGUCCAAUUAUGAAGCUGUCUAUGCAUUGCAUUGGUGUCUAUUUGGUAGUACGAGGACAAUUAAUAUGUAUAUUGCAUCAACAUAUAAUUUUCUUUAUUUGUACCUUCUUUAUG
Long non-coding RNA from Camelina sativa (false flax), 887 nucleotides. RefSeq lists it as uncharacterized. Lineage: Eukaryota; Viridiplantae; Streptophyta; Magnoliopsida; Brassicales; Brassicaceae. The record is from RefSeq and is a predicted model, not a curated record.